Molecule: non-coding RNA, 30 nt
Filed under: Mus musculus (house mouse)
Lineage: Eukaryota; Metazoa; Chordata; Mammalia; Rodentia; Muridae
Source: RNAcentral
UAGCAGUGUUCAGAAUUCGUUCAUUCAUGC